UGAGAUCACAACCUGAGCAGAAACCAAGAGUCAAACACUCAACUGACUGAACCACAUCUCUCUCAAGAUCCCCAGGAAUUGGUUGGAAAACUACCAGUGUGGACGCUUAGAGUGUUGCACGCACAAUGACCUCUCAUUCUACGAGUGCCAGUCGGUGGCCCUGGCCAGACCUCAACCGCUGUCUCCCACCUCAGGCAUGAAGGUACUUAACUAUACAUGACUGAAUUGAGCUACCCUAUGACCCAGCCAUUGCACUACUGGGGGUUUACCCCAAAGAUACAGACGUAGUGAAGAGAAGGGUCAUAUGCAC
Molecule: long non-coding RNA, 310 nt
Organism: Ailuropoda melanoleuca (giant panda)
Lineage: Eukaryota; Metazoa; Chordata; Mammalia; Carnivora; Ursidae
Exons: 3
Source: RefSeq, a predicted model, not a curated record